RNAcentral lists this ribosomal RNA (460 nucleotides) under uncultured bacterium. Its description in RNAcentral is "partial 16S ribosomal RNA". It matches the Rfam family "Bacterial small subunit ribosomal RNA", at positions 338 to 795 of the family's 1533-position model. The record is from RNAcentral.
CCUACGGGAGGCAGCAGUGAGGAAUAUUGGUCAAUGGGCGCUAGCCUGAACCAGCCAAGUAGCGUGAAGGAUGACUGCCCUAUGGUUUGUAAACUUCUUUUAUAUGGGAAUAAAGUGGAGUUUGUAUAUUGCUUUGCAUUUACCUUAUGAAUUAGGAUCGGCUAACUCCGUGACAGCAUCCACGGUAAUACGGUGGAUCCGAGCGUUGCCUGGUUUUAUUGGGUUUAAAGUGAGCGUAGAUGGGUUGUUAAGUCAGUUGUGAAAGUUUGCGGCUCAACCGUAGAAUUGCAAUUGAUACUGGCAAACUUGAGUGCAGUUGAGGUAAGCGGAAUUCGUUGUGUAGCGGUGAAAUGCGUAGAUAUAACGAAGAACACCGAUUGCGAAGGCAGCUUACUGGGCUGCCACUGACGUUGAUGCUCGAAAGUGUGGGUAUCAAACAGGAUUAGAUACCCGAGUAGUC